GACGAACGCUGGCGGCGUGCCCAAUACAUGCAAGUAGAACGCUGAAGGAGGAGCUUGCUUCUCUGGAUGAGUUGCGAACGGGUGAGUAACGCGUAGGUAACCUGCCUGGUAGCGGGGGAUAACUAUUGGAAACGAUAGCUAAUACCGCAUAAUAUUGACUAUUGCAUGAUAGUCAGUUGAAAGGUGCAACUGCACCACUACCAGAUGGACCUGCGUUGUAUUAGCUAGUUGGUGGGGUAACGGCUCACCAAGGCGACGAUACAUAGCCGACCUGAGAGGGUGAUCGGCCACACUGGGACUGAGACACGGCCCAGACUCCUACGGGAGGCAGCAGUAGGGGAUCUUCGGCAAUGGACGGAAGUCUGACCGAGCAACGCCGCGUGAGUGAAGAAGGUUUUCGGAUCGUAAAGCUCUGUUGUAAGAGAAGAACGAGUGUGAGAGUGGAAAGCUCACACUGUGACGGUAUCUUACCAGAAAGGGACGGCUAACUACGUG
This 495-nucleotide ribosomal RNA is filed under the name uncultured bacterium. RNAcentral's name for it is "partial 16S ribosomal RNA". It matches the Rfam family "Bacterial small subunit ribosomal RNA", at positions 28 to 507 of the family's 1533-position model. The record is from RNAcentral.